CUAAAUCCUAAAACCUUAACCCUUGGGUAAACUUUAAACCCUUGGCUAAAUCCUAAACUCUAAAUCGAAAACACUAAUACACUAAUACACUCAAGGGUUUAGGGUUUUAGUGUUUAGUGUUUUUGAUUUAGAGUUUAUGAUUUAUCCAAGGGUUUAGGGUUUAGGAUUUAGGUUUUAGUUUAGGAUUUCAGAUUUAGGGUUUAGGGAUUAGGAUUUAGGGUUUAGUUUUUUCUGACAACGUUAAAACUUUUUUUUUUAAUAUUAUUUUUUCUGUAACUACUAUUUUUUUAUCUUUUUAUUUUAAAAACAU
RNAcentral lists this long non-coding RNA (310 nucleotides) under Brassica napus (rape). RNAcentral's name for it is "long non-coding RNA (BNAP_LNC011480)". The record is from RNAcentral. Lineage: Eukaryota; Viridiplantae; Streptophyta; Magnoliopsida; Brassicales; Brassicaceae.